CUACGGGUCGCUGCAGUGGGGAAUAUUGCACAAUGGACGAAAGUCUGAUGCAGCAACGCCGCGUGGAGGAUGACACUUUUCGGAGCGUAAACUCCUUUUAUAUAGGAAGAUAAUGACGGUACUAUAUGAAUAAGCACCGGCUAACUCCGUGCCAGCAGCCGCGGUAAUACGGAGGGUGCAAGCGUUACUCGGAAUCACUGGGCGUAAAGAGCGUGUAGGCGGGUUAAUAAGUCAGAAGUGAAAUCCAAUGGCUCAACCAUUGAACUGCUUUUGAAACUGUUAACCUAGAAUAUGGGAGAGGUAGAUGGAAUUUCUGGUGUAGGGGUAAAAUCCGUAGAGAUCAGAAGGAAUACCGAUUGCGAAGGCGAUCUACUGGAACAUUAUUGACGCUGAGACGCGAAAGCGUGGGGAGCAAACAGGAUUAGAUACCCGGGUAGUC
Molecule: ribosomal RNA, 439 nt
Filed under: uncultured bacterium
Lineage: Bacteria
Description: partial 16S ribosomal RNA
Rfam family: Bacterial small subunit ribosomal RNA
Source: RNAcentral